UGCCCUACUAUGGUCCAACGCAUAUCACUGUUGAGAAACAGAGUGAUUUGACAGAAAUUCGUUAUUAACGAUGAUCCCACGGCGUGAUUGGCCAACAUUCAAUGUCACAUUGGUCAGAACACCAAUGUUGGUAUGAUGACAAUGAAGAUUGAACAGACGAUCCAAGCCCCCGAAAUCGACCAAUCACAUUUCAAUAGCUAACUUACCUCAGAGCUGGCGAGAGAAGACAAGCGGUCAUCUCGGUAUUUUUGAUGAUAGCUGGUGGGCGUGGUCUCUGGCUUCCCAUGCUGGCACUCCCCCACACCUGAGGCUAAUCUUCAUUCCAGCACCAUUCUGCCCUGCAUCGCUGCCAAUCACCACUACAUAAGACCUGAUCAGCCAUCCAGUCAUUUUGACACACCUUGUUAAACAUGCUAGUCCUAGUAUCGGUUUGCCUGCCAGCCUAUCUAAGUUGGAUUUUCUGUAUUCAAGGAAACCCCUCGCUCUGCUCCACAGAUUCCCCAGAUUACUGUCUGCCUGAACAUUCACCAGAUUUCCCUGUUCAGGUUUCCCUUCCUGUGAAUGCUCUGGACUGCCAAAACCCCUGCUUCAUUCCCCAGCCACACACUCAGCCUUUUUUGUGGAGACGUGCUGAUGGCAGCCUGAAUCUGAUACAGUGGAAAUAACAACGGUGAAGGAGGCCAAAAAAGCGAAGCCGUGAAUAAGACCCCUGUAGAGCCGACCCUUAAUAGUUGAAGAUUUGUUGCUUUGAUGGGUGGAGCUUGAUACGAUCUCUGAUGUACCACUCAAAGAUUAUUAUCGUUUUUAAACAGUUCUUGAAAUAGACCCACGAGGAACCGCAACGUGCAUGCAUGCACCGCAUGCAAAACUCAACACAAGACUGGCAAGACUGAAUGGCAGGCGAGCAGAGAGAGAAAAUGGCAAUAAGCCUCAGUUCAGCUGUAAAAUGUACAGUCUAAGUUACACUGAUUAAUGAACAGAGACUGCAGCUUCUCAAGAUUAAAGCUUGCAAUCGCCGCACACAAAGAAGUUAGGCCUAUAUGAUUCGACUAUAGGCAAGACUUGACAAUUCUGAUUCGACUAUGUAAAUCCUUAGUCGGGGACAGCCCUAUACCCCUGUUCCUGGAGGGUGUGCUGGACAAGACCAAGAAAAGUUUAAUUCAGCCCCAAGAAGAUCCACCUAACGGAAAGCAACGGUUUCUCUGAAAUCCAGUUUGGUGAGUUUCAAACAUUGGGCAAACAUUAAGGUGGGUAGCUGAAAAUACCCUGGGGUAUGCUGCUUACCUUGUAGCAGCUAUUAAGAGGGACACAACAGGAGGCAGCCAAGUUUCCCAAGAUCAUGCCCACAACAAGGGGAGUAUAUUGAGCCAUGCGUCAGUGAGGGCUGGUAAACCGCAGCAGCCAGAUCCAGCGGAAGCUGCGGGAUGAGGUCUGGUUGUUUAAGUCCAGUAUCUGACAGAUUGCAAGGGGAUUGCCAGUGCUGUCACGUCGGGCCUGAUCCUGCCUGUGAACUUAGAAUCUGCACCUUCAAUGCCUCCUGUUCCUAAGCACCCAGGAUGUCCUGCAAAGGCUGGCUGAGAUUAAGGCCAUCAUCACUUUACUAUAUGUUCAGAUCUUAAAAAUGGAUUCCUCAAAGUAAAUGGCCAGAAAACUAGCAGUUUGCAGCCAUGUCACUGCUACCUGGGCAACCAACGUUGGUAACGAGCAUGGACAGGUGAUCAUGUCCGUGAAGUGAAGGUUGUAUAAACCGUAGCGAGCUAUCCCUACAUUGCAGGGGAACCACUAGUGGGACCAAAGAGACUCAGGCUCUAACUGAGCGCCAUAUCCAGGCAUUUGAUGGGGUUGCUGGUCGUGACACCCACUAAUAAACUCAGCCCGAAUGAGUGAGCUCUAGAAGGUCCAGCGAAAGCAUGUAGCCUGCGUCCAGCAUCCUCAUCAUCAGCUCUCCAUGCAAAGGGCAACUGUAGUGAAAGAUGGGCACAGUCUUCCAACCUACUGCUGUGUCAGAGGUUCCACUUUGCUUGAGCCAUUUCACCUGCACAGACUUAUCCAAGGUAAAUAAGUGACUUAGUUGAA
Long non-coding RNA from Micropterus dolomieu (smallmouth bass), 2076 nucleotides. RefSeq lists it as uncharacterized. The transcript is spliced from 3 exons. The record is from RefSeq and is a predicted model, not a curated record. Lineage: Eukaryota; Metazoa; Chordata; Actinopteri; Centrarchiformes; Centrarchidae.